RNAcentral lists this ribosomal RNA (253 nucleotides) under uncultured bacterium. RNAcentral describes it as "partial 16S ribosomal RNA". It matches the Rfam family "Bacterial small subunit ribosomal RNA", at positions 524 to 776 of the family's 1533-position model. The record is from RNAcentral.
UACGGAGGGUGCAAGCGUUAUCCGGAUUUACUGGGUUUAAAGGGUGCGUAGGUGGAUUGGGUAGUCAGUGGUGAAAUACUACAGCGCAACUGUAGAACUGCCAUUGAUACUCUCAAUCUUGAAUGCAGUGGAGGCGGGCGGAAUGUGUCAUGUAGCGGUGAAAUGCUUAGAUAUGACACAGAACACCAAUUGCGAAGGCAGCUUGCUACACUGUGAUUGACACUGAGGCACGAAAGCGUGGGGAUCAAACAGG